Molecule: long non-coding RNA, 1567 nt
Organism: Mus pahari (shrew mouse)
Lineage: Eukaryota; Metazoa; Chordata; Mammalia; Rodentia; Muridae
Exons: 3
Source: RefSeq, a predicted model, not a curated record
GAACCCAGUCCAAAGUGUUUUCUGCCCACGCAGAGACACACAAUAGAGGACACCCUCUUUCUAUGCCACAGCAUUUUUAUUAAGAACAUCUUUGGGGAGGGAGGGAGCUGAUAAUUGUUGGACUAGCCUAUGACACUGAAAACUGUCACGUGUUCCCACUUUGCUAACCCUGGUACCUCCAGCUCUAGAGAGUCAACUUUGAUCUCAGCUGCCGAACAAUGCUGACGUUCCAACUCCUCAUCUUGGCCUCAAGGGUUUGCUGAGUCAGUUCAUCUGCCAGAGGCAGAAAAGUGAAGUCACCACCAAGGUCAGCAGGUCCCCCCACCCCCGGGGAACCUAAAGCUGUAGAUGGAAGCUUUCUGGGAGAAUCGGAAGAAAGAGUGUGACCCCACCGGUUCUUUUAGAAGAAGACAGGAACUCAUCUAUACAGAAGCUGCCUUCCAUGUCAGGAUGUCCUGCUGUCCACACGGAGACUGGAGGCCAUGUGGCAGAAAACUGAUGUGUCCCAGCUGAGAGACAGGACCAACUGCCAGACGUUGGAAUGAAGCCUCCUUCAUAUCGUAGCCCAAACUGAGCUCUCAACAAAAUGCAGCCAUGAGAGUGAGCCUAGGCACCAUCAUGUGGAGCUGAAGAUAUGACUAUACAAGCCCAGAGAAGCCACACACUGUGAAAUAAUACACCUAUGCUGUUUCAACCUAUUGAGUUUUGGGGCAAUUUGCUAUAAACAGACAACUGGUAUACAGCUAAACAACUGCUAAGUAGCCCCACUCUUGGCUCCAUGUCAAUGAGUGCUGUGCCUUGAUAUUGCUUCCAGAGUCCAAUAAACACUAGCCAGACGUGGGCCUGUGUUCCCAGGGCUAACAGCCAUUCUCCCCCACUUCCUCCAUAGUGGUGUGAUCCACAUAGCUUGCCUCUCUGGGUGAAUCUGUGCUUGGCAGUGUGUGCUGGCCCCUUGCCGUGGGCUCACUUGCCUGUCUGCCUGACUCUUGAGCCUCCAGCAAACCCCCUUUCUCGCCCUGAUUGAAAGCCCCAGGAAUGGCCAUUUGGUGUCCCCUUCCUGACGCCCUGAAAUGAGAUUCUGUCUCCUGCAGGGGCCACUUUGCACUGCUGCACAAUGAUUGGAAUUGGAGAUGCAAGCAACAGAAAACUCGGCAGAUACAUUGGAAACCCUCUUGAGAGAAGAGCAGACAAGGAGACAAGGAAACAGAAGACACAACAAAGACAGGAAAAUCUGAGACUAAAGUUAGGAAGUCUGAGAUUCAGGAGGAGGAAACACAGAGAAAACGGAUGAAGUGAAAAUAUGAAAGAUGACACCGUCAUUGUCCUACCAUGACCGUCUGUACACCCCAACCUCAGAGUCCAAAAGGGACAGGAAACUGGUUCAAAGUCCUGAGGCUCUCAAGAGGGAAAAAUGUUCUCAACAAAGUCAGUUUGUAGGUUUUUGAUAUGUUAACUCUGGACCUUUGGAAUCUUCCAGAAGUUUGCUAAGUCAUGGAGAAACAGAAACCAACUGUGGGGUUAGGAUGCUCUGUCAGCUGUUUGUUUUACAAGCACAGGGACUUGAGUU